UGUCAUUUAAAAUGGCUAUAGAUCCUAGUAAAUCUUCACAUGGUCUCCCCUAAUCCCUUAACAAUCAUAUUAUAUUAUGAUUAGAUGUAAAUUUCACUUCCACUUGGAUUUAACUGGUCUAUAAUACACACAUCACAAUGUUCGAUUAUGCUCUAAGACAUUGCAUUCAACAUGGAACUUGUUCAUGGAAUUCAUGAAAUUGAAUAAUUCUUUUAGUGUUUUCAUUUCUGCAAUUGCUUUAAUACUUAAGGCCUCAUAAGAUUUUAGC
Molecule: long non-coding RNA, 268 nt
Filed under: Carica papaya (papaya)
Lineage: Eukaryota; Viridiplantae; Streptophyta; Magnoliopsida; Brassicales; Caricaceae
Description: long non-coding RNA (CPAP_LNC004718)
Source: RNAcentral